UCUUCUUUUUUUGGGUAUACCGCUUUGAGAUUUGAUUAGCUGGCGUAAUAACUGCAAAUCGAUUUUAGAAUUUCCCUCAUUGUUUUCCCAUCAUGGUUUUCUCUUUCAGGAGGCUCAUCUCGUUGAUUUUUCUGUGCAUUCCUUUCAUAUUUUACAUUGAGAUGUUUAUGUAAAGCGUUCUUUUCUAACCUAUGGCUUAGGGCAAAAGGGGCAUGAUGGCUUGACGUCACCCUCACCUUCCUCUAUCCAUCUUUUUAUUAUCUUGGAUGGAAUAGGAGUUAAUGCCAUCAGGUAUUUUGGGAUUCUCAUAUGGCAUUCAAUAAGGGGAGACAUAUUAUGAAAAUGUCAUUCUAAUAGCAAAUGAAUUGGUGGAUUCUAGAUAAAAACAAAGCAAAUGGGGAAUUAUUUGCAAAUUAGAUGUAGAGAAGACAUACGGCCAUGCCAACUGGAGCUUCUUACUCAAUAUGUCUACAGAGGUUGUGUUGCUGUCGUGUAACUUGAAACAUCUCUAGAGCUUCCUUUCAUGAUAAUCUACUAAUCUAGGGGAUAGAAUAGAAUAUAUAUGUUGUUGGGUUGUGUCUUCUUUGAAAUGUAUGAACACUUUUGUGGCUUGUGUGUUAGCGAUCCUGUGCUUUAUGCCUGGCAUUUUUCCUUGAGUUGAUCAGUCUACUAGAAAGGUAAUUGAAAGCUGUAUGUGUGUGAAUCUCACAAGUAAAAUUUCGUGUUACUCCUAUCAUAUCUUCUGUAAGAAUUGGUGAUAUACUGAUAUAUACAGUGGAAAACCGCAAAGCUCCUUCACUUCUACAGGUCAUUGCAUCAGUGAUAUCUUGCAUUUGUUUUACUAGAGGAAUGUUUGGCUUAUGUUUUUUUAACAGAUCUAUGGACAUUAUACUUCAGUGGCUAGGACUUCUCUUUUCCUCUUUGUACUUAAAAGAGAGGGUCUAUUAAAUGAAGUGCAUUCUUUUCUAAAGUCAUGAUGCUACUACUCCCAACUUGUUUAAAUGGUAGUUAAACUAAUUUUGAUCUUGAAGAUUGCACUUGUCAUGUCCAUUUGUAUUUAUGUUUGUUUGUGCUUGUGUCUGCCUCAAAAUCUUAUUUCCAGAUUCUUGCUGCAAUUAUCAGAGUACCUUCGUGAAUAUAAUGUAGUGUUACUGCAUUGGAGAGUGUGUGCUAAU
Lycium ferocissimum is the source of this 1175-nucleotide long non-coding RNA. RefSeq lists it as uncharacterized. The transcript is spliced from 2 exons. NCBI's taxonomy places the organism in Eukaryota, Viridiplantae, Streptophyta, Magnoliopsida, Solanales, Solanaceae. The record is from RefSeq and is a predicted model, not a curated record.